GUGUUCAAGAAAUUUGUUAAGAAAAAAAAAAAAGCUUACAAACCCAAAAUUCUCUCUCUUUCUUCUAUCGAAUUCGAUCUGUCCCUGUAACCAGAAACCAAAAAUGUCUCACUUCGGUAGGUCUGGCCCUCCUGAUAUUGUUGACACGUACUCCCUGCUUGUCCUCAACAUCACCUUCCGUACUACUGCUGAUGAUCUGUUUCCUCUUUUUGACAAGUACGGGAAGGUCGUCGACAUCUUUAUCCCCAGAGAUCGAAGGACUGGUGACUCUCGUGGAUUUGCAUUUGUGCGCUAUAAGUAUGCAGAUGAGGCACAGAAGGCAGUGGAUAGGCUAGAUGGAAGAGUUGUUGAUGGGCGGGAGAUUACAGUUCAGUUCGCGAAAUAUGGGCCCAAUGCUGAGAGGGUUCAUAAAGGAAGGAUUGUUGAAUCUGUUCCAAGGUCAAGAUACAGGUCUCAGAGUCGCAGUCCUCGAAGAAGGUACCGAGAUGACUACAGAGAUAAAGGCUAUAGGAGGAGAAGUCGCAGCAGGAGUCGGGACAGAUAUGAGCGUGAAAAGUAUCGUGCUAGGGACAGAGACUAUCGUCGACGGAGCAGGAGUCGCAGUGUCAGUCCUGAUCACUCUAGAGGCCGGGGCAGAGGGCAUUAUGAUGAUGAGCGGAGGAGUAGCAGUCGAUCAGUGGAUAGUGCAUCCCCUGUUAGACGUAGCCCAAGUCCUCGAAGGAGUUCUUCUCCCCACAAGAAUUCUCCUUCUAAAGGUGAAAGCCCUGAUAGACAUAGCCGUGAUGGACGGUCUCCAACUCCACGGAGUGCCUCACCUAGAGGUCGACCUGCUGCUUCUCGUAGCCCAUCCCCACGAAAUUCAGAUGUUGAUGAAUGAACUUGCAGUUUGCAUGGAAAAUUUUAUGGCACAUGACUAGUGCAUUUCUUAUGGUCAUGUUACAGAUGUUGAGGACUAAUGAUUUUCAAAUCUGUUCUGGUCAGAAUUUUUAUGAGCUAGUUUUGCUGUUUCCGGAAAGAUUGCUAUGGGGGCUGAUGUCCAGAAUGUUGAUUUUGUGGCUAUUGUGGCUGUUGAUGCUGUUUGUUAAAUGUAGAUGGAUGAUUAUGAUUGUGAUUACUCAAAAUUAUCUGAUGAUUGUUGGUCCUGAUUUGGGUUUGUAGUUGCUGUGGUGGUUUAAAAGUUGGACACAAGAUGAACGUGUUUUACCUAUAGCUGAUGCUGAACAUGAAGUGGUCCUGUUACUCAGUAGUUCUCUGCUGAUACUAAAAUCAAACAUAAUAUGCUGCUCUGAGUUGGACAUGCGAGUAGCAUAUGAGUCCGUGACUGUAGCUGUGAAGUGGUAGCUGAUGCCCGUUCUGUUGUAUGAUAUUCAUGGCUUCGUUCAUAACUUAUGCAAGUACUAAUGAAUUACCACUUGUAGCGGGCUGUUGCUGCCCUUCCUAAUGGGAUCGGGUUGUUAAUUAUACUAGCAGUUGUUGAUAUUGAUGAUGGCUGCCUAGCUGUGUUGCUGGCUUGGGGUCAAUUCCUAAGGAUCUGCUUUGACUUGUAAGCUCGCCUAAUGUCAUGUGCAGACAAUUAUGUUUCCUUUUUUACUGCCAUGAGUUGUCCUUGAAAUUUUGCUUCAUAAGUUACUGAAAUUGUUUAUAAUGCCUAUGAUCAAAUGAUUGUUCUUUGCUGAUGUGA
RNA transcript from Hevea brasiliensis (rubber tree), 1681 nucleotides. It is a transcript of the gene named serine/arginine-rich splicing factor SC35, with no coding region annotated. The record is from RefSeq and is a predicted model, not a curated record. The transcript is spliced from 11 exons. NCBI's taxonomy places the organism in Eukaryota, Viridiplantae, Streptophyta, Magnoliopsida, Malpighiales, Euphorbiaceae.